UGGGGAANUUUCCGCAAUGGGCGAAAGCCUGACGGAGCAAUACCGCGUGAGGGAGGAAUGCCUUUGGGUUGUAAACCUCUUUUCUCAGGGAAGAAGAUCUGACGGUACCUGAGGAAUAAGUAUCGGCUAACUCCGUGCCAGCAGCCGCGGUAAUACGGAGGAUGCAAGCGUUAUCCGGAAUCAUUGGGCGUAAAGCGUCCGCAGGUGGUUUCCAAAGUCUGCUGUUAAAGACUGGAGCUCAACUCCGGAACGGCGGUGGAAACUUGGAAACUAGAGUUCGGUAGGGGUAGCAGGAAUUCCCAGUGUAGCGGUGAAAUGCGUAGAUAUUGGGAAGAACAUCGGUGGCGAAGGCGUGCUACUGGACCGUAACUGACACUCAGGGACGAAAGCUAGGGGAGCGAAAGGGAUUAGAUGCCCCUGUAGUCCUAGCUGUAAACGAUGGAAACUAGGUGUGGCUUGA
RNAcentral lists this ribosomal RNA (460 nucleotides) under uncultured marine microorganism. Its description in RNAcentral is "bacterial SSU rRNA". It matches the Rfam family "Bacterial small subunit ribosomal RNA", at positions 355 to 830 of the family's 1533-position model. The record is from RNAcentral.